AGUGAACGCUGGCGGUAGGCCUAACACAUGCAAGUCGAACGGCAGCACAGUAAGAGCUUGCUCUUACGGGUGGCGAGUGGCGGACGGGUGAGGAAUACAUCGGAAUCUACUUUUUCGUGGGGGAUAACGUAGGGAAACUUACGCUAAUACCGCAUACGACCUACGGGUGAAAGCAGGGGAUCUUCGGACCUUGCGCGAUUGAAUGAGCCGAUGUCGGAUUAGCUAGUUGGCGGGGUAAAGGCCCACCAAGGCGACGAUCCGUAGCUGGUCUGAGAGGAUGAUCAGCCACACUGGAACUGAGACACGGUCCAGACUCCUACGGGAGGCAGCAGUGGGGAAUAUUGGACAAUGGGCGCAAGCCUGAUCCAGCCAUACCGCGUGGGUGAAGAAGGCCUGCGGGUUGUAAAGCCCUUUUGUUGGGAAAGAAAAGCAGCAGGUUAAUACCCCGCUGUUCGGACGGUACCCAAAGAAUAAGCACCGGCUAACUUCGG
RNAcentral lists this ribosomal RNA (491 nucleotides) under uncultured bacterium. RNAcentral describes it as "partial 16S ribosomal RNA". It matches the Rfam family "Bacterial small subunit ribosomal RNA", at positions 29 to 506 of the family's 1533-position model. The record is from RNAcentral.